This 1768-nucleotide long non-coding RNA is filed under the name Chrysemys picta bellii (western painted turtle). Its description in RNAcentral is "lncRNA (ENSCPBG00000027518.1)". The record is from RNAcentral. Lineage: Eukaryota; Metazoa; Chordata; Testudines; Emydidae.
AUGUAUCCACAAGAUUUAGUGGUCAUGAUGGCAGCGGAGGAGACGAUUGUCCCAGACGUGACGGUGAAUACGGUGGCGCCCGUCACGGUGGUGACCGUCCCAAACACGAUGGGGGAGACGGUGGCGCCCGUCACGGUGGUGACUGUCCCAGAUACGCCAGGGAAGACAGUGGCGCCCGUCACGGAGGCUACCAUCACAGAGGCGACCCUCGCAGACACACCGGGGAAGACGGUGGUGCCUGUCACAGAGGCGACCGUCCUAGGCAUGACGAUGACCAUAGUGCUUGGACAUAAAAAAAUCUCAACUUCAGGGCUGCCAUCAGUAAAAAGCUUCUCAAGUUCUACAAUGAAAAUAAGUAGAGAAUCAACGUUCUUUUUCAAGUCUACUGCUAAACAACUAACUUUGGAGGACAAGAAGUUAGUCAGAUCAACCUCUACCAACCUGACUUUUGGGCCAGAUAAAGAACAGCAAACAUCUGAACUAGAGAUAGGGCUCAGCAUUUUCUUUGGGAUACUCCUUAUUAUUGUCAUCAUUGUUUGUUGCUGUAGGUGGAAAAAGUCAAGAAAAAGCUCAUUUGACUUGAACUCAAUAGAAGCAACUAUUCCCUUAAAUACCAUUGAAACAAAAGAACCAAGCUCAGGUAGAGUAUCCUUGGUUUUGUUCUGUUCUUUUAAAUGGCCACUAAAAUGGAGGGUUUAGGAGAGUACUCUUUAUGAUUGGGCAUAUACAAUCUACUUGCGGCUUUACUCUCACUCUGUGAACCUACAUACUAGAGCUGUGUGCUUCACAGGAAUCCAUGCCAACAUUUUCUUCAGUUUCAACCAAUAUAGUUUCACACUCCAAAAGUAUCAUUUUGAAAAAAAACCCUCAAUCUCCAAACAAGACUCAAUCAAAGCCAUUUGCUACAGCGUUAGAACCAUGCAAUACCAUGACCUGUGGGACUCAGCUUCACUUCUGAACCCUGGUUUAUGGUCCUUAUUUUUUAUUUGACUAUAUUAUACACUACAGUGGGGUGUGUUAACCAUUUUAUUCUUAAUUCAUGUGAAUUUUUACUGUUUCCUGUUUUUCUUUGUAUCAUUUUCAGAUGGGGAGAAGAAAUGAAAGCACUCUCACUUAAUAGCCAUUCAAGAAGAUCUCACAAAAAGAACUAAUAUGGCUGAAUCACCAGAGAAAUUAAAAUGGAUUGAAAUUCAAAGAGAUCCACUGGCACUCUCAAUAGUGUAAACUUCUUUUUAAAUGGCACAUUUUGGAGUGUUCUUGAAUCUAGUCAUAGUAAUAAGCAGAUAUUCAUUGGUGCUGGCUGCUACAAAUCUUUAUUCAUUGCCUGUUACUUUUUGGUUGUGGAAAAAAGCUCGCCUUACUUUAAUAUAGUUAUCUAUGGGCCACAUUCCACCAUUUAGGCACAAAUCUGCAUCAGCAUAUGAGGAACUGGGGGAGGCAUAAUCCCUCUCCCAGCUCUCCAGCAUUCAGAAGAAACAUGCCAUGGCCCUUCCUCUUCCUGCCCCAGCCUGCUUCCUUUAGAGGAUUGUGGCCUUUAGGGUGCACAGCAGGAAGGAGUCACGGAGGCAGGCAGUCUUUGUGCUUCCCUGAGUAUAGGGACUGGGGUCUUUCCGGGCCCUUAUGUGGAGCUCCUAAGAAGUGAGGGGAAAACUAUUUAUGCCUCCUGCUCCCACCAAUUCAUCCGUCCAAAAGCCUGUGAAAAUCUAGCCCUUAAUUCUUUGUACAUAGCUUGUUUUAUAAUAAAUGACCUAAGUAAAAGUGAGUCUCA